This 253-nucleotide ribosomal RNA is filed under the name uncultured bacterium. RNAcentral's name for it is "partial 16S ribosomal RNA". It matches the Rfam family "Bacterial small subunit ribosomal RNA", at positions 524 to 776 of the family's 1533-position model. The record is from RNAcentral.
UACGGGGGGGGCAAGCGUUGUUCGGAAUUACUGGGCGUAAAGGGCUCGUAGGCGGCCAACUAAGUCAGACGUGAAAUCCCCAGGCUCAACCUGGGAACUGCGUCUGAUACUGGAUGGCUUGAAUUCGGGAGAGGGAUGCAGAAUUCCAGGUGUAGCGGUGAAAUGCGUAGAUAUCUGGAGGAAUACCGGUGGCGAAGGCGGCAUCCUGGACCGACAUUGACGCUGAGGAGCGAAAGCCAGGGGAGCAAACGGG